CCUACGGGUGGCAGCAGUGAGGAAUAUUGGUCAAUGGGCGAGAGCCUGAACCAGCCAAGUCGCGUGAAGGAUGAAGGAUCUAUGGUUUGUAAACUUCUUCUAUAUGGGAAUAAAGUGAGGAACGUGUUCCUUAUUGUACGUACCAUAUGAACAAGCAUCGGCUAACUCCGUGCCAGCAGCCGCGGUAAUACGGAGGAUGCGAGCGUUAUCAGGAUUUAAUGGGUUUAAAGGGUGCGUAGGUGGUUAAUUAAGUCAGCGGUGAAAGUUUGUGGCUCAACCAUAAGAUUGCCGUUGAAACUGGUUGACUUGAGUAUAUGUGAGGUAAGCGGAAUGCGUGGUGUAGCGGUGAAAUGCAUAGAUAUCACGCAGAACUCCGAUUGCGAAGGCAGCUUACUAGACUGUAACUGACACUGAAGCACGAAAGCGUGGGGAGCAAACAGGAUUAGAUACCCCUGUAGUC
This 460-nucleotide ribosomal RNA is filed under the name uncultured bacterium. Its description in RNAcentral is "partial 16S ribosomal RNA". It matches the Rfam family "Bacterial small subunit ribosomal RNA", at positions 338 to 795 of the family's 1533-position model. The record is from RNAcentral.